UGAUAUAUUUAUAGCAUGAAUUUGAUAGGUUAAUAAAUUUAUAACAGAAAUAUCUAAUAAGUAAAGUAUUAUUUAAAGAAAUUAUUUUAUAUGGCUAUAGUUUAGAAGUACUGAGAAGGAAAAUUUUGUAAUUUGUGUUUAGUAGAAAUGAAAGUUCGUACCUUUUGCAUCAUGAUUGUGCGAGAUAUAAAUAUUGAUAUAUUGUCCCGAAAUUAUGUGAGCUAUUUUAUAACUUAAGUCAAUGUUGCAAAAUUGUUUUUAGAUUAUAAAAUAGAUGUGAAAUGCAAAUCGCACAUAAUGAUAGCUGGUUAACUCAGAAAUAUAUGGAAGUAUAGCUUUUUAUUUUCUAAUUUUGUUUAAACAUUAUUAGAUAUUAUAAAAGUCCCGUGAGAGAAUACAAGUUCUUUUAUGAUAUAAAGAAUAUUGUAUAAAAAUUAUUAAUUAAAGUAGGCUUAGAAUUUGCUAUCUUCAUGAGUUUGUUUUUAAAAAAAUGUUUGUAUUUAAUAAUUGUUUUUACUCUUCUUAGAAUAUAUGGGUUUUAUAGUUUUAAUUGAAAGAAACUAAGAAUUUAUGCAUAAAUUAGUAUAUUGAUAUAUGAUUGAUAUUUAGCUGGAGAUUAUAAAAUUUAGGUUAAGUAAUUAGUUUUUUAGCAUAGGAUUAUUCUAAGGAAUUCGGCAAAAUAAGUCCCGCCUGUUUAUCAAAAACAUCGCUUUUCGUUGAAGUAAAAUGAAAAGUAGAGCCUGCCCAGUGAAGUAAAUUUAAACGGCCGCAGUACCCUGACUGUGCGAAGGUAGCAUAAUCAUUUGCUCUUUAAUUGGGAGCUGGAAUGAAUGGUUUGACGAGGGCUUAACUGUCUUAGAUUAAUUUGUUAGAAAUUGACUUUUAGGUGAAGAGGCCUAAAUUAGGCUAUAGGACAAGAAGACCCUAUUGAGCUUUAGUUUUUUACUUAAAUAAAAGUAUAUAGAUAGAGUUUAAUUAAGUAAUAGAUUUUGAUUGGGGCGAUCAAGGAAAAAGGUAAUCUUCCUUUAAUGUUAUAUAAGUUAUAUGAAUUGGUGAUCCAGGACUAUUCUGAUUAUAAGAAGAAGUUACCAUAGGGAUAACAGCGUAAUCUUUUUUGAGAGUUCUUAUCGAAAAAGAGGGUUGCGACCUCGAUGUUGGACUAAGGUGUCCUGAAGGUGUAGCAGCUUUCGAGGGUUGGUCUGUUCGACCAUUAAAACCUUACAUGAUCUGAGUUCAGACCGGCGUGAGCCAGGUUGGUUUCUAUCCUUAGUUUUAAUAAAGCUUUUACUAGUACGAAAGGAUCGUUUAAAGCUAAUUGUGGGAUUAGAGAAAGUAAGAUUUAGGAUAAUAUGAUAAUGAAAUUGUUUAAUAAUUUA
RNAcentral lists this ribosomal RNA (1376 nucleotides) under Solemya velum (Atlantic awning clam). RNAcentral's name for it is "16S ribosomal RNA". It matches the Rfam family "Bacterial large subunit ribosomal RNA". Lineage: Eukaryota; Metazoa; Mollusca; Bivalvia; Solemyida; Solemyidae. The record is from RNAcentral.